Non-coding RNA from Cinara cedri, 420 nucleotides. The record is from the annotation of a GenBank genome assembly. NCBI's taxonomy places the organism in Eukaryota, Metazoa, Arthropoda, Insecta, Hemiptera, Aphididae.
CACAGGGGUAACUUAAUAUACUGUUUUAUUUUUUUUAUUUUUGUGUGUUUCAAUCAUAAUAAAUAUAUAUUACAAUAUUAUAAUAUGUAUACUUAUUACCAUAAACAUUUUUUUGUUUUUACGCAAGCUUAUAGUCCUAUAACGACUUACUGAACUAUAUUUUUGGACCUCAAUGAAUAUUUUUGUUUAUGUUUUGUUUUUUUUUGUAUUUUUAUUUUUAACAUUUAGAUAUAUUAUAAAAAACGUAUUCUAAAAUAGAAAUAUUAGUAAGUUGUUAUAACAGGAACUAAUAUUCAUCUCCACGUUAUAAAAUAUAUCUUACAAUAUUUAAAGGUGCAUGAAAAACAUCAUAAUAUAUUAUUUUAAUGAUACAUUGAUCAAGUUUUUUUAUACAUAGGUAUACAAUAGGUGUAAUUUAUC